RNAcentral lists this ribosomal RNA (773 nucleotides) under uncultured Bacillota bacterium. RNAcentral's name for it is "bacterial SSU rRNA". It matches the Rfam family "Bacterial small subunit ribosomal RNA", at positions 574 to 1352 of the family's 1533-position model. Lineage: Bacteria; Bacillati; Bacillota. The record is from RNAcentral.
GGCGGACUUUUAAGUGAGAUGUGAAAUACCCGGGCUCAACUUGGGUGCUGCAUUUCAAACUGGAAGUCUAGAGCGCAGGAGAGGGGAAUGGAAUUCCUAGUGUAGCGGUGAAAUGCGUAGAGAUUAGGAAGAACACCAGUGGCGAAGGCGAUUCUCUGGACUGUAACUGACACUGAGGCGCGAAAGCGUGGGGAGCAAACAGGAUUAGAUACCCUGGUAGUCCACGCCGUAAACGAUGAGUGCUAAGUGUUGGGGGUCGAACCUCAGGGCUGAAGUUAACGCAUUAAGCACUCCGCCUGGGGAGUACGGCCGCAAGACUGAAACUCAAAGGAAUUGACGGGGGCCCGCACAAGCAGCGGAGCAUGUGGUUUAAUUCGAAGCAACGCGAAGAACCUUACCUAGACUUGACAUCUCCUGUAUUACUCUUAAUCGAGGAAGUCCCUUCGGGGACAGGAUGACAGGUGGUGCAUGGUUGUCGUCAGCUCGUGUCGUGAGAUGUUGGGUUAAGUCCCGCAACGAGCGCAACCCUUAUUGUUAGUUGCCAUCAUUAAGUUGGGCACUCUAGCGAGACUGCCCGGGUUAACCGGGAGGAAGGUGGGGAUGACGUCAAAUCAUCAUGCCCCUUAUGUCUAGGGCUACACACGUGCUACAAUGGUCGGUACAAUAAGACGCAAGCCCGCGAGGGGGAGCAAAACUGGAAAACCGAUCUCAGUUCGGAUUGUAGGCUGAAACUCGCCUACAUGAAGCUGGAGUUGCUAGUAAUCGCGAAUCAG